GCUCGUGUCGUGAGAUGUUGGGUUAAGUCCGUAACGAGCGCAACCCUUGUCCUUAGUUACCAGCACGUUAUGGUGGGCACUCUAAGGAGACUGCCGGUGACAAACCGGAGGAAGGUGGGGAUGACGUCAAGUCAUCAUGGCCCUUACGGCCUGGGCUACACACGUGCUACAAUGGUCGGUACAAAGGGUUGCCAAGCCGCGAGGUGGAGCUAAUCCCAUAAAACCGAUCGUAGUCCGGAUCGCAGUCUGCAACUCGACUGCGUGAAGUCGGAAUCGCUAGUAAUCGUGAAUCAGAAUGUCACGGUGAAUACGUUCCCGGGCCUU
RNAcentral lists this ribosomal RNA (324 nucleotides) under uncultured Pseudomonas sp. RNAcentral describes it as "bacterial SSU rRNA". It matches the Rfam family "Bacterial small subunit ribosomal RNA", at positions 1058 to 1382 of the family's 1533-position model. The record is from RNAcentral. Lineage: Bacteria; Pseudomonadati; Pseudomonadota; Gammaproteobacteria; Pseudomonadales; Pseudomonadaceae.